AGCCGCCGCGGGAACACCGGCGGCCCGAGUGGUGAUCGUGAUUAUUGGGUCUAAAGGGUCCGUAGCCGGUUUGGUCAGUCCUCCGGGAAAUCUGAUAGCUCAACUAUUAGGCUUUCGGGGGAUACUGCCAGACUUGGAACCGGGAGAGGUAAGAGGUACUACAGGGGUAGGAGUGAAAUCUUGUAAUCCCUGUGGGACCACCUGUGGCGAAGGCGUCUUACCAGAACGGGUUCGACGGUGAGGGACGAAAGCUGGGGGCACGAACCGGAUUAGAUACCCGGGUAGUCCCAGCCGUAAACGAUGCUCGCUAGGUGUCAGGCAUGGCGCGACCGUGUCUGGUGCCGCAGGGAAGCCGUGAAGCGAGCCACCUGGGGAGUACGGCCGCAAGGCUGAAACUUAAAGGAAUUGGCGGGGGAGCACAACAACGGGUGGAAGCCUGCGGUUUAAUUGGACUCAACGCCGGACAACUCACCGGGGGCGACAGCAAUAUGUAGGCCAAGCUGAAGACUUUGCCUGAAUCGCUGAGGGGAGGUGCAUGG
Molecule: ribosomal RNA, 539 nt
Filed under: uncultured archaeon
Lineage: Archaea
Description: bacterial SSU rRNA
Rfam family: Archaeal small subunit ribosomal RNA
Source: RNAcentral